Molecule: ribosomal RNA, 765 nt
Filed under: uncultured Dechloromonas sp.
Lineage: Bacteria; Pseudomonadati; Pseudomonadota; Betaproteobacteria; Rhodocyclales; Azonexaceae
Description: bacterial SSU rRNA
Rfam family: Bacterial small subunit ribosomal RNA
Source: RNAcentral
UAGAGUUUGAUCAUGGCUCAGAUUGAACGCUGGCGGCAUGCCUUACACAUGCAAGUCGAACGGCAGCACGGACUUCGGUCUGGUGGCGAGUGGCGAACGGGUGAGUAAUGUAUCGGAACGUACCUUUCAGUGGGGGAUAACGUAGCGAAAGUUACGCUAAUACCGCAUAUUCUGUGAGCAGGAAAGCAGGGGAUCGCAAGACCUUGCGCUGAUUGAGCGGCCGAUAUCAGAUUAGCUAGUUGGUGAGGUAAAGGCUCACCAAGGCGACGAUCUGUAGCGGGUCUGAGAGGAUGAUCCGCCACACUGGAACUGAGACACGGUCCAGACUCCUACGGGAGGCAGCAGUGGGGAAUUUUGGACAAUGGGGGCAACCCUGAUCCAGCCAUGCCGCGUGAGUGAAGAAGGCCUUCGGGUUGUAAAGCUCUUUCGGCCGGGAAGAAAUCGCAUGGGUUAAUACCCUGUGUGGAUGACGGUACCGGAAUAAGAAGCACCGGCUAACUACGUGCCAGCAGCCGCGGUAAUACGUAGGGUGCGAGCGUUAAUCGGAAUUACUGGGCGUAAAGCGUGCGCAGGCGGUUUAGUAAGACAGGCGUGAAAUCCCCGGGCUUAACCUGGGAACUGCGUUUGUGACUGCAUAACUUGAGUGUGGCAGAGGGGGGUGGAAUUCCACGUGUAGCAGUGAAAUGCGUAGAGAUGUGGAGGAACACCGAUGGCGAAGGCAGCCCCCUGGGUCAACACUGACGCUCAUGCACGAAAGCGUGGGGA